CCUCCGCCUCGAGGGUCACCCACCGUCUCCGUGUCUCCGAAUGCCUCCGAGGUCUCUGCCGAUCACGGGGCCUCUCCUUCCCUGACCGCCCCCCCCCCCCCCCCCCGAUCGUCUCCCUCUCUGCCUCUUCCGGGUGCUGGUCUCACUGCCUGGAGUUUGGGGUGACCGUGCCGGGAGCAGCCUCGAAGAGCUGGGGGGUGGGGGGGGGUGAGUACACACCCUUUGGCAGAUAAGCGUCUCCCGGGCUGCCUUCCGGCCAGAGCUCGCCUUCCUUGGCUUUUAGAGCCGUGCGAGCACCCUCACAGCCCGGCAUCCCAGACUCCUUCCAGCCCCGGUGGGAGCCGGCCAGGGCUCCCGUCCCAAGAGGAGGCUGUUAACGUGGUGGGACCGGUAGCCAACGGUGGCUCCCCAACGCCCCGCGCGUCACACACAUCAAGGUCCUUGCCUUGCUAGUCAAGCAAUUCCCAAGCUACUGGCUAUUUUUACGAUGCUGUGGGAUCUGUUUUUGGCUUCCCGACCCUGUCUUCCAGUACACGUGUAAUAACAGCCCCGUUGUUCUAGAAAAACAAUAAAAACGAGCACUCCGGUUUGGCAGCAGUCUUCGCUCCAGCAGAGCAGAAUGCACAAAACCUUUGCUAUCAGCUCCUGGGCUUGGGGAGGACGCCAAAGGCAGCACCCCCUUCCCCGGAGCCCCCGCAGGCUUUGCUUAAUGCUGGGGACCGUGGGGCAGGGGACAGGGGGGGACGCGAGGAAGGCAUCUUCCCGGGCAGCCACCAAACAGUGGAACCCUGAAAAAGCCUCCGUGAGGGCUGGGGAAGAGCAACGGUUCAAGGCAGACGGUGCCGGGCGACUUCCUCCGGGUCCCCUGGCCCGUCCCCUGCAUCCUCCCAAAGUGAGCCGUAGUAGGUGGGACUUGAUUAGUUCACGAGAUUCCUUCAGGACUACGUCACCAUUCAGUUAUAUAACCCUGAAGGUGGCUACACAGUUGAGAAAUUGGGGGGACAUUCUGAGACAGCAUGGAGGCAAUCACUUAGCGCUCCGUCUUCCGGUGCCGUGGAAACUUCCCAAGUGAAAAGGGGAAAGAAACAGAAAGAAUGGAUUUCCCCUGAUUUGCUGAGCAUCACAGUGUCUGCAAAGCAGAGCGCUGACGACCACCCAGGGAGCAGCAGUGUCUACGGAGCCCAGACGGCAGCCACGGGAGGCCAGACGGGCAGUCGGACAUCCCCGCCGUCUCGUAUGACUACUCAGAGGAGGCGCUGAUGGCCAGCAUCGAGCAGAAUACUGUCGCUGAGGCCGCUGAGGCCGCUGCCGCCGCCUGGCAGGCCCCCUUGCUCCUGC
Lynx canadensis (Canada lynx) is the source of this 1338-nucleotide long non-coding RNA. RefSeq lists it as uncharacterized. NCBI's taxonomy places the organism in Eukaryota, Metazoa, Chordata, Mammalia, Carnivora, Felidae. The transcript has 3 exons. The record is from RefSeq and is a predicted model, not a curated record.